Molecule: ribosomal RNA, 1372 nt
Filed under: uncultured bacterium
Lineage: Bacteria
Description: bacterial SSU rRNA
Rfam family: Bacterial small subunit ribosomal RNA
Source: RNAcentral
GAUGAACGCUGGCGGCGUGCCUAAUACAUGCAAGUCGAGCGAACGGACGAGAAGCUUGCUUCUCUGAUGUUAGCGGCGGACGGGUGAGUAACACGUGGAUAACCUACCUAUAAGACUGGGAUAACUUCGGGAAACCGGAGCUAAUACCGGAUAAUAUUUUGAACCGCAUGGUUCAAAAGUGAAAGACGGUCUUGCUGUCACUUAUAGAUGGAUCCGCGCUGCAUUAGCUAGUUGGUAAGGUAACGGCUUACCAAGGCAACGAUGCAUAGCCGACCAGAGAGGGUGAUCGGCCACACUGGAACUGAGACACGGUCCAGACUCCUACGGGAGGCAGCAGUAGGGAAUCUUCCGCAAUGGGCGAAAGCCUGACGGAGCAACGCCGCGUGAGUGAUGAAGGUCUUCGGAUCGUAAAACUCUGUUAUUAGGGAAGAACAUAUGUGUAAGUAACUGUGCACAUCUUGACGGUACCUAAUCAGAAAGCCACGGCUAACUACGUGCCAGCAGCCGCGGUAAUACGUAGGUGGCAAGCGUUAUCCGGAAUUAUUGGGCGUAAAGCGCGCGUAGGCGGUUUUUUAAGUCUGAUGUGAAAGCCCACGGCUCAACCGUGGAGGGUCAUUGGAAACUGGAAAACUUGAGUGCAGAAGAGGAAAGUGGAAUUCCAUGUGUAGCGGUGAAAUGCGCAGAGAUAUGGAGGAACACCAGUGGCGAAGGCGACUUUCUGGUCUGUAACUGACGCUGAUGUGCGAAAGCGUGGGGAUCAAACAGGAUUAGAUACCCUGGUAGUCCACGCCGUAAACGAUGAGUGCUAAGUGUUAGGGGGUUUCCGCCCCUUAGUGCUGCAGCUAACGCAUUAAGCACUCCGCCUGGGGAGUACGACCGCAAGGUUGAAACUCAAAGGAAUUGACGGGGACCCGCACAAGCGGUGGAGCAUGUGGUUUAAUUCGAAGCAACGCGAAGAACCUUACCAAAUCUUGACAUCCUUUGACAACUCUAGAGAUAGAGCCUUCCCCUUCGGGGGACAAAGUGACAGGUGGUGCAUGGUUGUCGUCAGCUCGUGUCGUGAGAUGUUGGGUUAAGUCCCGCAACGAGCGCAACCCUUAAGCUUAGUUGCCAUCAUUAAGUUGGGCACUCUAAGUUGACUGCCGGUGACAAACCGGAGGAAGGUGGGGAUGACGUCAAAUCAUCAUGCCCCUUAUGAUUUGGGCUACACACGUGCUACAAUGGACAAUACAAAGGGCAGCGAAACCGCGAGGUCAAGCAAAUCCCAUAAAGUUGUUCUCAGUUCGGAUUGUAGUCUGCAACUCGACUACAUGAAGCUGGAAUCGCUAGUAAUCGUAGAUCAGCAUGCUACGGUGAAUACGUUCCCGGGUCU